Long non-coding RNA from Artibeus jamaicensis (Jamaican fruit-eating bat), 1362 nucleotides. RefSeq lists it as uncharacterized. The transcript has 5 exons. Lineage: Eukaryota; Metazoa; Chordata; Mammalia; Chiroptera; Phyllostomidae. The record is from RefSeq and is a predicted model, not a curated record.
GAGAGCCUGGGAGCGCUUUCGACUCGGUCCAGGCUCGCUCCCACCCCCACCCCCGCUCCGGUUGCCUCUCCUCCUUUCCGGACGCCAAGGGAAAUGCAAACUUGAAAUGUGGCAGAACAUUGGCUGAGUCUUAGAGGGAGGAAUAGAGACCAAGCUGAAAGAGGUGGUGGCCAAGUCAUGCGGCAGUUGGGCUGGGAAGAAGGAAGUUGGAAUUCAGAGAUGCAGUGAAGUCUAAGACUUGAAAUGGAAGAGGGAACCUUAGAGAAAUCAGCCCGAAAUUUAUUGUGCAGUUUCCUCUUGAGGUGCUUGUCAUUUCCUAAGCUGUGCCUGUCCUGGGCAAGAUUCCUGGCCCCAAGCUGAAAGCAACAGCUGUGAAGCAACUAAAGUCAACCUCAGAAAGACAAGGCCAAGUGUCUGCACAAGCUGAUGUUGCAGAAGCUAGAGAAGCUGACAAAGGAGGAAAAAAAUUCAGGUUUCUCCUGUAAGAGACCCUCAUCUGUGUAGAGGUCCUCACAGAUCCCCUGGGGUGACGUGGUGAAGGCCUAGGACAAGGCCCUCAGCCUCAGAGGAAGAUGGCCCAGAGGAAACUGGGGAGCAAGUGAAGGGAAAGGCCCUUCGGUUUGCUUCCUGACCUCCAGCUGCUCUUUUUCCCUAGGAAGAUUCAUGAGACACUUUUCAGUUUAUCCAGUCACUUUCCCUGGACUUCACAGUGCUGUACUCUGCAGCUAGAAUGACAAUUGUCCCCCAUUGCCCAGAACCGAAAAGUCUCCCAGGAGGCAGACUUGAAUGCCUGAAUGGUCCCAGGUGAACUGGACGAGUCAGUUACCCUCUUACAGUGAGGUUAGUAGUCUCUGAACUAAUGCAUGUAUAAGUUCUUUCCCUUCCCAUUUAGGAAACUCUGGGCUGUUGACAAUAAAUGUGGUAGAGUAUAUGAGAAAAUAACUCAUAAAUAAGUAUUGCUUCAUAUAUGACUCUCUAGAAACAGGAAAUAUCUAGAGCAAGAAUUUCCUCAGACCCAUAUCUUGCCUACAUAUGACAGGAUUUCAUGUAGUCAGAUAGUAAACAGUACUGUACUUUAAGACAGUAUUUCUAAUGCCAUGGUUCCAUGUGUUCUUCACUUUCUGAGCCUAGGGAAGGUCUUGUUAAAGUGUGCCUGUGCUGUGACAGCUGACAGAUGUGGCACUAAGAGCUAAAGGAAAUGGGAACAUGUGGCUCCAUAGGCCUUUCUGAUGUCUGCCAGGCUUGUAGGGAAGGCCUUUCAGGGCAGAUGUGACUUAACUUUACUGCCAGUUCUGAUCACUGUUUAACUCCUUAUUGUCUCAGGUUUUUCUUUUUUUAGCUAACCUUGAAUGUGCUUAAUUU